AGCCACAUCAUGUUGAAACACCGGUUCCCGUACGAUCACUGAAGGUAAGCAACGUCAAGCCUAGUCAGUACCAAGAUGGGUGACCGUUUGGGAAUACCAGGUGCUGUAAG
Acanthosepion pharaonis is the source of this 110-nucleotide non-coding RNA. The record is from the annotation of a GenBank genome assembly. NCBI's taxonomy places the organism in Eukaryota, Metazoa, Mollusca, Cephalopoda, Sepiida, Sepiidae.